Molecule: ribosomal RNA, 496 nt
Filed under: uncultured bacterium
Lineage: Bacteria
Description: partial 16S ribosomal RNA
Rfam family: Bacterial small subunit ribosomal RNA
Source: RNAcentral
AUGAACGCUGGCGGCGUGCCUCAUACAUGCAAGUCGAGCGAACAGACGAGGAGCUUGCUCCUCUGACGUUAGCGGCGGACGGGUGAGUAACACGUGGAUAACCUACCUAUAAGACUGGGAUAACUUCGGGAAACCGGAGCUAAUACCGGAUAAUAUAUUGAACCGCAUGGUUCAAUAGUGAAAGACGGUUUUGCUUUCACUUAUAGAUGGAUCCGCGCCGCAUUAGCUAGUUGGUAAGGUAACGGCUUACCAAGGCAACGAUGCGUAGCCGACCUGAGAGGGUGAUCGGCCACACUGGAACUGAGACACGGUCCAGACUCCUACGGGAGGCAGCAGUAGGGAAUCUUCCGCAAUGGGCGAAAGCCUGACGGAGCAACGCCGCGUGAGUGAUGAAGGUCUUCGGAUCGUAAAACUCUGUUAUUAGGGAAGAACAAAUGUGUAAGUAACUAUGCACGUCUUGACGGUACCUAAUCAGAAAGCCACGGCUAACUACGUG